CUUGCCAAGAUAGUGAUGUUGUUGAUAAUUUUCCAUUUCCAACACCAACACCAUCGUUGUCCAUUACUGCUGCAGACAUGAUUGAUUAAUUGAUUGAAGAAUCCAAACAGAAUUUCAGAAGAUCAAAUGCAGUUUGCAAAGUAGCACUACACUAGUUCUAUUAAAACUGUGGACUAACUUGACUGACUUUAUAUGUAUAUGAAUCUAUCGGGAAAAAGAAAGAAAAGCAUUGUCCGAAGAAAGAGAUUUUCGUUUUGGAUCAGUUCGGAUCGGAUAUCCAAUAACAUCAAAUGGAUCGGUUUACUAUCCAAAGAGUAUGAUCCACUCUAUAUUGGAUCGGAUCGGUUUGGAUCAUAAAUAUUUUGGAUCGGUUUUGGAUCAGUGGAAAACCAAACCGAACCGAUCCAUUGACAGGCCUAUUUCUUGGUGGGGGUUUAUUUGAAAUUGCUUCUUUCAAGCUUGACCAGUUUACUUGCACCUUCUUGCUUUGGUGGUUUGUUUAAUUUUCUAGUGUCUUUGUGUUUAGCUUCUACUAUAAGGGUGGCUUGGGUUACAACAGUUUCUGGCCGGACACAACAUUAUUCCAGCAAUUAAC
RNAcentral lists this long non-coding RNA (595 nucleotides) under Aquilegia coerulea. RNAcentral describes it as "long non-coding RNA (ACOE_LNC000078)". Lineage: Eukaryota; Viridiplantae; Streptophyta; Magnoliopsida; Ranunculales; Ranunculaceae. The record is from RNAcentral.